RNAcentral lists this long non-coding RNA (5806 nucleotides) under Homo sapiens (human). RNAcentral describes it as "HSALNT0295696". The stretch from base 635 to 715 matches the Rfam family "Small nucleolar RNA SNORA40". Lineage: Eukaryota; Metazoa; Chordata; Mammalia; Primates; Hominidae. The record is from RNAcentral.
CUGGAGUGCAAUGGCAUGAUCUCUGCUUACUGCAACCUCUGCCUCCUGGGUUCAAGCGAUUCUCCUGCCUCAGCCUCCUGAGUAGCUGGGAUUACAGGCAUGCAACACCACGCCCGGCUAAUUUUGUAAUUUUUUUGUAGAGACGGGGUUUCAUCACGUUAGCCAGGCUGGUCUCAAACUCCUGACCUCAGGUAAUCCACCCACCUCGGCCUCCCAAAGUGCUGGGAUUACAGGCAUGAGCCACUGCACCUGGCCUCUCUACGGUAAAUAUUGAAAGUUGCUGGGUCACAGGGUAUGCACAUUUAAAUUUUUUUUUUCUUUUUAAAGGGACAGAGUCUUGCUCUGUUGCCCAGGCUGGAGUACAGUGACGCAAUCUUGGCUCAAUGCAACCUCCGCCUCCCGGAUUCUGGCUCAAUGCAACCUCUGCCUCCCGGAUUCAAGCGAUUCUUCUGCCUCAGCCUCUGAGUAGCUGGGCCUACAGGCACGUGCCACCAUGCCCAGCUAAUUUUUGUAUUUUUAAUACAGACGGGGUUUCACCAUAUUGGUCAGGCUGUCUCAAAUUCCUGACCUCGUGCUCUGCCCUCCUCGGCCUCCCAAAGUUCUGGAAUUACAGGUGUGAGCCACCGUGCCCAGCAUUUAAAAUUUUAAUAUGUACUUUUUGCAACCCAGAACUCAUUGUUCAGUAUGAGUUUUGAUACAUAUAAGAAGGGAUAUUAUGAUACCUGAGACAGUUAACUGAUGGGAGUAUUGAUAGCCAUAAAGGUUGGUUCCAGGCCAGGUGCAGUGGCUCAAGUCUGCAAUCCCCACACUGAGGUGGGUGUAUUGCUUGAAACCAGGAGUUCAAGACCAGCCUGGGCAAGAAAGUAACAAACACCUCAUCUCCACAAAAAUUUAAAAACUAGCUGGGUAUUGGGGCGUGUGCCUGUAGUUGCAGCUACUCAGGAAGGGGAGGCUGAGGCAAAAGGAUUGAGCCCAGGAGUUGGAGGCUGCACUGAGCUUUGAUGGCACCACUCUACUCCAGCCUUCGUAACAAAGACCUUGUCUCCUAAAAAAAAGAUUGAUUCUAGGACUGUAGAAUAGAUAGUUAAACAGCAUGGGAUAUGAGGGAAAUCCUCAGCAGUAUUAAUUUUGCAUUCCAAUUUCAUGUUGAUGAGACAUACGAUGGCUUUUUGUUUUAAAAGCUUUUAUCUUGAGAACAUGAUGUCUGGAGUUAAAGGUAUUGGCAUAUUCCACACAUCUGUACUAUUCUUGAGUGAGAUGGCUUAAGGUGUCAAAUUGAUAACCUGGCAGAUCCCCACGACCGACAGUAUAAAGGACCCUAAAGUAAAUUGGUUGAAGAAAUUAGAUCCCAAAGAUUCUUGGUGAAUUUUGAAGUCUUCAUCAGUAUAUCCACAUUAAAAGGAGACGACAGGAAGCCAAAGUAAUUAUGGGCUGACAGGACAACUGGAUCAGUUUCAUUAAAAAGGCUAACUUGAAGAUAAAUCUUUUGACUCCAGCUCUUUAGAGGAUCUAAAGUGACCUUGAUGGACAGUGGAAGAAAUCACAACAUGGAAUUCCUUGAAUAAAAAUUUAUUGACUUUAAAUAAUUUUGUCUAUUGUUACAUAUCCACAAUUUAAAAACUAUUUACAGCCGGGUGCGGUGGCUCAUGCCUGUAAUCCCAGCACUUUGGGAGGCCGAGGCGGGUGGAUCACGAGGUCAGGAGAUCGAGACCAUGGUGGCUAACACAGUGAAACCCCGUCUCUACUAAAAAUACAAAAAAUUAGCCCGGUGUGCUGGCAGGUGUCUGUAGUCCCAGCUACUCUGGAGGCUGAGGCAGGAGAAUGGCAUGAACCUGGGAGGCGGAGCUUGCAGUGAGCCGAGAUUGCGCCACUGCACUGCAGCCCGGGUGACAAAGCGAGACUCCGUCUCAAAAAAAAAAAAAAAAAAAAAAAAGGAAAGGGUAAACCAGUAAAUACCCACCUUGAAAAAAGAGACAGCAAGGAAAUGUCCCUACUGCAAUCUUGGCUCUGAAUCAGGGGUGGAAGUCGAGGAUUGUGAAGACCUCCCCUGAGUAUUCACAGGCUAGUCUUCAUGAGUUUAUAGUCUAAGUUUAUACUACCUGAAUAGACAGAAACACUUCAAGCCCAGAAUUUUAUUUAUUUAUUUAUUUACUUACUUACUUACUUAUUUACUUACUUACUGAGAUGGAGUCUCCCUCUGUUGCCCAGGCUGGAGUGCAAUGGCGUGAUCUUGGCUCACUGUAACCUCUGCCUCCCGGGUUCAUGCCAUUCUCCUGCCUCAGCCUCCCAAGUAGCUGGGAUUACCGGCACCCACCACAAUGCCCGACUAAUUUUCGUAUUUUUAGUUGAGACGGGUUUCGCCAUGUUGGCCAGGCUGGUCUCGAACUCAUGACCUCAAGUGAUCUGCCCACCUGGGCCUUCCAAAGUGCUGGAAUUACAGGCAUGAGCCACCAAGCCCGACCAAGCCCAGAAUUUAUUUUAAAGUAGUUACAGGGUGAUAGUAACCUAAUUGUCAGGCACUGCAGAGAACGAAAUACAGAUCCUCUCUGGAGAAAGUCACCUUCAAGGCAAACCUAAAAAAAAUCCCUGGAGUUCAGAUGAUAAACUAUAAGGAAAAAAAAUCCCUAUUGUUAAGUUCCUUUGAAUAUGUGUUCACUAAUAAAAAUCCCACAAACACAAAGCAACAGGAAGUAGGCCACCAUAAAUGAGAAUGAGCAGAAAUCAUAAAUAGCAGAAUUAUGCCCACAGAGACUUUGGAUAUUAGAAUUAUAUUGCUGCAUAUAAAGAAGUAUGUUUGCCAGGAGCGGUGGCUCACACCUGUAAUCCCAGCACUGUGGGAGACCGGAGGUGCGUGGAUCACCUGAGGUCAGGAGUUGGAGACCAGCCUGGCCAAUAUGGUGAAACCCCGUGUCCACCAAAAAUACAAAAAUUAGCCGGGCGUGGUAGCACGUGCCUGUAGUCCUGGCUACCUGGGAGGCUGAGGCAGGAGAAUCACUUGAACCCGGGAGGCGGAGGUUGCACUGAACCAAGAUCAUACCACUGCACUCCAGUCUGGGUGACAGAGCAAGACUCCAUCUCAAAACAAAACAAAAAAGAAGUAUGUUUAAUAUAUAUAAAAGCCUGAUUCAAGCACCGGACAGAAAAAAUAAUGUAUCACUAGGGAAUAAAUCACUAAAAAUGACAAGACUUCCAUAACCAUUGCUUGGUUUAAAAAAAAAAAAAAAAAAAAAAAAACAGGCCAGGUGCGGUGGCUCACACCUGUAAUCCCGGCACUUUGGGAGGGCAAGGCAGGCAGAUCAGGAGGUCAGGAGUUCGAGAGUAGCCUGGCCAACAUGGUGAAACCCCGUCUCUACUAAAAAUACAAAAAUCAGCUGGGCGUGAUGGCACAUGCCUGUAAUCCCAGCUACUCGGGAGGCUGAGGCAGGAGAGCUGCUUGAACUCGGGAAGCAGAGGUUGCAGUGAGCCGAGAUCACGCCAUUACAUUACAGCCUGGGUGACAGAGCAAGAAUCUGACAAAAAAAAAAAAAGAUUUUUAAAGGAACAAUUUCUAGAAAUGUAGAUACAGUAAUUCAACAAAUAACUAAAGAAAUAACUACAUAUAUACUAUGUCUAUGUGUGUAUGUGUAUGUAUAUAUAAUAUAUACUGUGAAGGAAAAUAAAGGGUGCCAUGAAAACAUAUCACAGAGUGUUAGGGACUGAAUUUUGCCUCCCUUCUCGCUACCCAAAAUUCCUGUGUUGAAGUCCUAACCCCCAGUACCUCAGCCUGGGAUUGCAUUUGGAGAAAGGGUCUUUAAAGAAGUAACUAAGGUUGGCCGGGCACGGUGGCUCACGCCUGUAAUCCCAGCACUUUGGGAGGCUGAGACUGGUGGAUCACCUGAGGUCAGGAGUUUGAGACCAGCCUGGCCAACAUGGUGAAAACCUGUAUCUACUAAAAAUACAAAAAUUAGCCAGGCAUGGGGGCAUGUGCCUGUAAUCCCAGGUACUUGGGAGGCUGAGGCAGGAGAAUUGCUUGAACCUGGGAGGCAGAGGUUGCAGUGAGCUGAGAUUGCACCAUUGCACUCCAGCCUGAGUAACAAGAGUGAAACUCCAUCUCAAAAAAAAAAAAAAAAAAAAAAGGGCACCGGACAAGAUACAGCCAUUUAUAAGAGGCCCCAGAAGAAACAACCUUCGAUACCUUGACCUUGGACUUCUAGCCUCCAGAAGUGUGAGGAAAUAAAUUUCUGUUGUUUAAGCCACUGAGCCUUUGGUACUUUGUUAUGGCAGCCCCCAAAAACUAAUACUUAAACAAUUCAUCUCUGGUUCUUCUUUCUCUUUUCCUGCCCACCUCUUAAACAUUGGUAUUCCUCAGAGUUCUACAUGGUCCUCCUUUCUCCUGUUACAUAGUCUUCCUGGAUAAGAAAGGGCUCUACAAUUAGACUUGAAUUCAAAUGCUAGCCAUCAAUUAAAAGCUGGCUAUAAAUUCCCAAAUCUACAUUUAAUUUUCUUUUUGUAUAAAAAAUGGGGAUAAGAAUAUGAUAUGUUUUUCUUAAGAGUUGUUGGGAGGACUAAUAAUAAUAAUAGGGUGGGUGAGGUGGCUCAUGCCUAUAAUCCCAGCACUUUGGGAGGUUGGUGUGGGAAGAGCUCUUGAACCCAGGAGUUUAAGACCAGCCUGUGCAACAUAGCAAGAUUCUGUCUCUCCAAAAAAAAAAAAAAAAAAAAAUUUAAUUACCUAUGUGUGGUAGUGUGUGCUUUUAGUCCCAGCUACUUGGGAGGCCAAGGCAGGAGGAUCACUUCAGCCAAGGAGUUCAAGGCUGCAAUAAGCUAUGAUCAAGCCACUGCCACUGCCACUUGCCUGGGCAACAGAGUGAGACUGCAUCUCAGAAAUAAUAUCUUUUCUUGGCCGGGUGCAGUGGCUCACAUCUGUAAUCCCAGCACUUUGGGAGGCUGAGGCGGGCAGAUCACAAAGUCAGGAGUUUGAGACCAGCCUGGCCAACAUAGUGAAACCCCGUCUCUAUUAAAAAUACAAAAAAUUAGCCGAGAGUGGUGGCAGGCACCUGUAAUCCCAGCUACUCAGGAGGCUGAGGCAGGAUAAUGGCUUGAACUCAGGAGGCAGAGGUUGCAGUGAGACAAGAUUAUGCCAUUGCACUCCAGCCUGGGCGACAGAGUGAGACUCCAUCUCAAAAAUAAUAAUAAUAAUAAUAUCUUUUCUUCAGUACUAAUUAUGUGAAGGGACUGAACUAAUUGUUUACUUUCAUUAUUCAUUUAAUCCAUAAUAACCCAGCAAGGUAGUUGUUUUACUCAUUUUAUAGCUGUGGGAACAGACCAAGAACGUUAAUUACUCAGGCAGGGUCACUCAGCUAGUAAGGGGCAGAAGCAGAUUCAAACCCACAUCUAUCUGGCAUCAAAGCCUAUGCUCUUCAACUGUGAAUAUAGCUAAAUUUCAAAGGUAAAGUAGAAAAGAAUUCAUCUUUGAUUUCCAAUUCAUUGGAAGAAGAAAGCAUCACCAAAGACAGGAGCAUUCUCUGUAAGAAUGAUAAAGUGGUGAAGUUCUAAAGGAGCAGUCCCAAACUCUUCUCAUCAAGACUGCCUAAAUGCCCUACCCCCUAGCCCCUUAGAGGGUUUCUCUUUCUUUUUCUUUCUUUUUUUGAGACAGAGUUUUGCCCUUAUUGCCUAGGCUGGAGUGCAAUGGUGUGAUCUCGGCUCACGGCAACCUCUUCCUCCAGGGUUCAAGCUAUUCUGCCUCAGUCUCCCAAGUAGCUGGGAUUACAGGCAUGCGCCACCAGGCCCAGCUAAUUUUGUAUUUUUAGUAGAGACAGGGUUUCUCCAU